UACGAAGGGGGCAAGCGUUGUUCGGAAUUACUGGGCGUAAAGGGCGCGUAGGCGGCUUACCAAGUCAGGCGUGAAAUUCCCGGGCUCAACCUGGGGGCUGCGCUUGAUACUGGUGAGCUUGAAUGCGGGAGAGGAUAGUGGAAUUCCCAGUGUAGAGGUGAAAUUCGUAGAUAUCGGGAAGAACACCCGUGGCGAAGGCGGCUCUCUGGAACGCAACUGACGCUGAGACGCGAAAGCGUGGGGAGCAAACAGG
RNAcentral lists this ribosomal RNA (253 nucleotides) under uncultured bacterium. Its description in RNAcentral is "partial 16S ribosomal RNA". It matches the Rfam family "Bacterial small subunit ribosomal RNA", at positions 524 to 776 of the family's 1533-position model. The record is from RNAcentral.